AGUUAUACCUGAGUCUCCGCUUCCACUCGUGUAGGCCAGAGCACCUUCCCCGGCUAGCCAAGACCUUGCCGGGGGUGUGGUUGUGCUCCACUCCGUGGGAGGGGUUGAUUGGCAAGACAGCUGGCACCCCGCAGGAGCACCGCCAUGGGGAGCGCUGAUUGAUUGCCUAGACAGACUGUACGGGUCAAAGUGGAAGGAGUGGUAAACUACCCAAGGACAGCAGAGAAGAGGGGAUACAUGCUCCCAGACAGGGUGGGCAAGGAGCCCUAAGAUGGGAACAGGAAAACCGUGGAGCACACAAGAGUGCCAGAGGCUCUCGGACACCUUCCCAAAGAGGAUGAUGUUUGAACUGAGUCUUAAGGGUCAAAUUAAAGUCUCUAAGUAUUUGGUGACAGCCUGCUAAGUUUUGGAUACCCUACUAGGCAUUACGGUGGUGAACAAGAUGGUGAACAAUAUGGAUGUGGUUUGCUCUUGUGGAACUUUCUGGCUAUUGGGAACAAUAUUAAACAAACAAACAAAAAAAAAGUAUUGAGCACUUACAAGGUAAAAAAGAAGAGUGAAGAGCAUCCCAGGCAAAGGAAAUGACCAUAGCAUGUGCAGAGACUCUGUAGUUAAGAAAUUGAAGGCAACGGAUGGGGGUUGCUCUUGGUAAGAGAAGCAGCAGAACAGAUAAGCAGCUUCCAGAUCAUGAAGGUCCCCACUUAUAGAUCUCAUUGGUGUGAUUUUAAAACGGUGAUUCUUGGUUUCUCAGUCGUGUCCAACUCUUUGUGACCCCAUGGACUGUAGCUCACCAGGCUCCUCUGUCUGUGGGAUUUUCCAGGCAAGAAGACUGGAGCGGGUUGCCGUUUCCUCUUCCAGGGUAAAAGCGGUGAAGGCAUUAUAAUACAAGUGACUCCUGUUUUUGGUGUGUGAAUAAUUGAAAAGGGAUCGACAUUAUUUUGAGAGUCAGGCUGGGUUGCACCAUUCUCAGGCCAGGUGAAGCUACAUUUGAAACCAAAGAAGACGUGCAUGUAAAAGGUACAUAAUCUGCACCACAAAAAAGGAGAAAUAUCUGUCCCUGAGAUGACUUAACAUUUGACCUUAUUGUGAUUAUCUCA
Bos taurus (domestic cattle) is the source of this 1097-nucleotide long non-coding RNA. NCBI's taxonomy places the organism in Eukaryota, Metazoa, Chordata, Mammalia, Artiodactyla, Bovidae. The record is from Ensembl.